GCAGUUCUAUUAAAACACAGGUCCAAUCUGUGGGGAGUGAUUUCUCCCCUGAUAUUCACAUACAGUUCUAUUAAAACACAGGUCCAAUCUGUGGGGAGUGAUUUCUCCCCUGAUAUUCACAUGCAGUUCUAUUAAAACACAGGUCCAAUCUGUGGGGAGUGAUUUCUCCCCUGAUAUUCACAGACAGUUCUAUUAAAACACAGGUCCAAUAGAAGAAAUGAAAAAUAUGACUCAGACUGCUCUUAACUGGAGUCACGUGGACUGUGUUUUAAAUAUAUAUUGUUUGUGUGUGUGCGUGCGUGGUUGUGGUUGUGUAUUAAGGCACAGGCUAGCACCAGGUGUUGAGCGGGGAAUUUAUGGUGUUUCCGGGUCUUUUUAUGGAGACAACCCAGUGUUCUGUCUCCAAGGGUGUCCUCCCUCCUACUCCUUCUCUCCUUCCUCCUCCACCCCUCCUUCUCUCUUUCUGUCCUCCUCUCCUUCCUCCUCCACCCCUCCUUCUAACUCCUCCGUCUUGGGCCCAUCAGGCCUUGUUUUCCCAGAUUUUGGGAUUGCCGCGGCGAUUGUGACAGCGUUUCUUAUUGGUGGUUGACCUCUGGAAGCGUUUGGGCCAGCCGGACCGCUCCCUGCAGAGCUCAGCUGGGAUGGAGAGAAGAGAGAGAGGAUGUGUGGGCUCAGAUGUACAUGCUGUCCUAAAGCCAGUAAGUGUUUCAUGCACUCUAAGAUUGUUAUGUUGUUGUAAUCCUAACAACGGGUCUAAUGAAGUGCUAUCAGGUGGACUGUCUUACCCUUCAGGUACUCAUCCUGUUGGCAGACAGUUCUAACACAUAUCUCCUUGUUGAUCACAUAGAGGGAGGCUGAGACAAACCAGGAGACAUACAUCAUUACACUAUAAUCAGAGCCCAGCUGCUGUCUCUAAAACAUGCCUCUCUGUACAGGCUCUCAGGUUGAAACCAAUGAACUUUGACUGCAUGACCAGGAGGCACUGAGUGUGUCUAUGUUUUCCUGUGAGAGAGAACCUGUAGUUGCAGUUUACCUGUAAAGGCAGAGGGAGUGGAUGCAUCUCUUGAUGGGCCGGUGGACAGAGUACAUCCUGGUACAGGGGUACGUCUCUUCCCUACAGUCUAGCACAGAGGAUACACACAACAUCCAGAUAACUCACACACAAUGUUUAGAUAACACAGGACACCCCUGGUCAUCCCUGGCCUAACAUUGUUUAGUGAUGUUUCUGUUCCACAUUGAAGACCUUAGUCACCAGGCGGUAGGGUAGAGACAGACACCUCACUCACCAGGCGAUAGGG
Long non-coding RNA from Oncorhynchus tshawytscha (Chinook salmon), 1298 nucleotides. The record is from Ensembl. Lineage: Eukaryota; Metazoa; Chordata; Actinopteri; Salmoniformes; Salmonidae.